UGGGGAAUCUUGGACAAUGGGCGCAAGCCUGAUCCAGCCAUGCCGCGUGGAUGAUGAAGGCCUUAGGGUUGUAAAAUCCUUUCGCCGAGGACGAUAAUGACGGUACUCGGAGAAGAAGCUCCGGCUAACUUCGUGCCAGCAGCCGCGGUAAUACGAAGGGGGCUAGCGUUGUUCGGAUUUACUGGGCGUAAAGCGCAUGUAGGCGGGCCGUUAAGUUAGGGGUGAAAUCCCGAGGCUCAACCUCGGAACUGCCUCUAAAACUGGCGGCCUGGACCUAAGUAGAGGCAAGUGGAAUUGCGAGUGUAGAGGUGAAAUUCGUAGAUAUUCGCAGGAACACCAGUGGCGAAGGCGACUUGCUGGACUUAUGGUGACGCUGAGAUGCGAAAGCGUGGAGAGCAAACAGGAUUAGAUACCCACGUAGUCCCUGAGCGGGCUGGCAAGGCGCAU
RNAcentral lists this ribosomal RNA (447 nucleotides) under uncultured bacterium. RNAcentral's name for it is "bacterial SSU rRNA". It matches the Rfam family "Bacterial small subunit ribosomal RNA", at positions 355 to 825 of the family's 1533-position model. The record is from RNAcentral.